Molecule: long non-coding RNA, 213 nt
Filed under: Nicotiana benthamiana
Lineage: Eukaryota; Viridiplantae; Streptophyta; Magnoliopsida; Solanales; Solanaceae
Description: long non-coding RNA (NBEN_LNC001372)
Source: RNAcentral
AGCUGAUAAAUGGAUUUAGGGAAGAGACUGUGGUGGGGGCCAUGAGUGCGAGUUGGGGGGAUUUUACUUUCGAAGUGAAAAUGCGCCAACACUUUACGAUCUGGUAAUGGCCUCAACAACAGUGCUUCUGAGAACUCUUCUUCAAUUUGUUCGGCAAUAAUAAUUGACCCGAAGCUCUUAAAGAGCAGAAUAAAUAGCAAAAUUGAUCUUAAU